This 2530-nucleotide ribosomal RNA is filed under the name Trichinella zimbabwensis. RNAcentral's name for it is "eukaryotic LSU rRNA". It matches the Rfam family "Eukaryotic large subunit ribosomal RNA", at positions 1559 to 3401 of the family's 3401-position model. Lineage: Eukaryota; Metazoa; Nematoda; Enoplea; Trichinellida; Trichinellidae. The record is from RNAcentral.
AGUGGUGGUGGUGGUGGUGGUGGUGGUGUGCCGCCGCCGCCGCCGCCGAAACUACUUUUUGCUGCUGUUGCGUUGCUACAAUCUUGGUGUUUUUGUUCUGUGCAGUUGUCGUAUGUUUUCGAAAGGGAAUCCGGUUGAUAUUCCGGAACCGAGUAACGGAGACAAAGAGUAGCGCUUUAAUCUCUUUCGGGUUGGCGUUCAACUCAAUCGCGCGGUAACGCAAGCGAACUCGGAAAAUGACCGUCGUGAGUUUCGAAAAGAGUUUUCUUUUCUUUUUAAGGGACGCAUUCCCUGGAACCGGGUUGUCCGGAGAUAGGGAUUCUGGUAUCCAUAAAACGCCGACUCUUUCACGGUGUUCGGAGCGCUCUCGUCGGUACGUGAAAAUCCGAGCGACGCCUGGUAAAUCUCGUACUUGGUCGUACUGAUAUCCGCAGCAGGUCUCCAAGGUGAAUAGCCUCUGGCCGAUAGAAUAAUGUAGGUAAGGGAAGUCGGCAAAACGGAUCCGUAACUUCGGAACAAGGAUUGGCUCUAAGGGCUGGGCCGAUCGGGCUGAGGUUUCAAGCGUGCAGUGUAUGCUUGGCUGAGUUGUGUUGAGGAUUGAUUCGCUUGGUGCCGUUUGUUGAACCAAUCGGCUAUCCAGGUGGUCAUGUCUGAAGCAAAGCUGGCCGACAGACCGGCACGUGCAGAACCUGAGCUGCGCGGCUGUCAGUUCAUUUGUACAGACCGUUUCGGUCGGCAUUCAACAGCCAACUUAGAACUGGCACGGACACAAGGAAUCUGACUGUAUAAUUAAAACAAAGCAUUGCGAUGGCCGAUGAUCGGUGUUGACGCAAUGUGAUUUCUGCCCAGUGCUCUGAAUGUCAAAGUGAAGAAAUUCAAUCAAGCGCGGGUAAACGGCGGCGACAAAACGUUGUCAACAAUCGGGCUCAAAGUCACACGCAGGAUGAAAGAACGCCUUAGCUGGUUGACAUUUGAACAUUCAAUCAGAAUUUACAACACCAUGAGAAACUGAUUGCUCAGUAUGUUCCGUUCAGUUACUGUCUACUUAUCACUGUUAAACAUGUUAACUAUUACUGUUGAUUUAUUGUUACCACGUUCGUUGUUUUCUAAGCACUCUGUUACCAUCGCUUUUACAUUUCAUUAUUACGGUAUUAUUAUUCCUUCUGCCUGCAAUUUCCAUCGUUGUUGCUUUUUUCUUGUUUUUAUUGCUUCGUUGUGCUUGUUUGUUUGUUUGUUAUUGUUCUUGUUUGGCCUAGGAUAUCGAUAAUCACACGCACCGCGGAACUGGACCGUAUAAGCCAGAAAUAUUAAAGUAACAAUAGCCAAAUGCCUAGUCAUUUAAUUAGUGACGCGUAUGAAUGGAUCAACAAGAUUCCUUCUGUCCCUAUCUACUAUCUAGCGAAACCACAGCCAAGGGAACGGGCUUGGCAAAAUCAGCGGGGAAAGAAGACCCUGUUGAGCUUGACUCUAGUCUGACUCUGUGAAGAGACAUGAAAGGUGUAGCAUAGGUGGGAGGCUGCAGUAGGGCGCUGUUUGGUGUCUUUGUGGUCGCCAAUGAAAUACCACUACUUUGAUCGUUUCUUUACUUAUUCGGUAAAGCGAAAAAAUUGUGGCCAAUUUGGCGGUCUGUCCGCUGUUGGUCAUUGUUUUAAUGUUGGAUUGAAGCUUUGUUUAUAGCCGUCGCUUUGCGUCGCCGUUUGAUGCAUUGGCUGGGUGCGUUUUUGCGCGCGCGCGGUAAUGUUGUCAGCGGAUGAUCGGCGAUUGGUUUGAAGUGAUUCGCUCCGGAAACAGUGUCAGACGGGGAGUUUGACUGGGGCGGUACAUCUGUUAAACGAUAACGCAGGUGUCCUAAGGUAAGCUCAGCGAGGACAGAAACCUCGCCUAGAGUAAACGGGCACAAGCUUACUUGAUUUUGAUUUCCAGUACGAAUAAAAACCGCGAAAGCGUGGCCUAUCGAUCCUUUUGAUUGUGUAGAUUUCAUGCAAGAGGUGUCAGAAAAGUUACCACAGGGAUAACUGGCUUGUGGCAGCCAAGCGUCCAUAGCGACGUUGCUUUUUGAUCCUUCGAUGUCGGCUCUUCCUAUCAUUGCGAAGCAGAAUUCGCCAAGCGUUGGAUUGUUCACCCACCAAUAGGGAACGUGAGCUGGGUUUAGACCGUCGUGAGACAGGUUAGUUUUACCCUACUGAUGACAAGUCGUUGCGAUAGUAAUCCUGCUCAGUACGAGAGGAACCGCGGGAUCAGACAUUUGGUUCAUGCGCUCGGCUGAAAGGCCGGUGGCGCGAAGCUAGCAUCUGCAAGAUUAUGACUGAACGCCUCUAAGUCAGAAUCUUUUCUAGUCAUUGGCAACGAUAAGUUGCGUCCGGACUCGAUGCGAGGAAACGAUUAGGCUUUGCUGUGUUUUGCGCAGCGAAGCCGUCAUCAUACCACGGUAGCAGGCAGUUGGGAUGGUUACGAAAAAGCAAUUUUUUGAAGUCAGUUGAAUUCAAUCAAACUGCUAACAAUCCCACUGCGAAUGACUACACUCGAAUCU